Molecule: non-coding RNA, 73 nt
Organism: Trichonephila clavata
Lineage: Eukaryota; Metazoa; Arthropoda; Arachnida; Araneae; Nephilidae
Source: the annotation of a GenBank genome assembly
ACCCCAGUAGAGCAAUGGAUAUCGUGUUGGACUUUUAAUACAAAGGCUGUGGUUUCAAAUACCACCUGGGAUG